Molecule: transfer RNA, 57 nt
Filed under: Bos taurus (domestic cattle)
Lineage: Eukaryota; Metazoa; Chordata; Mammalia; Artiodactyla; Bovidae
Also listed under: 4 other names
Rfam family: tRNA
About the family: Transfer RNA (tRNA) molecules are approximately 80 nucleotides in length.
Source: Rfam by way of RNAcentral
UGGCUCAGAUGGUAAAGCAUCUGCCUGCAGUGCAGGAGACCCAGGUUCGAUCCCUGG